RNAcentral lists this long non-coding RNA (923 nucleotides) under Musa acuminata (dwarf banana). Its description in RNAcentral is "long non-coding RNA (MACU_LNC003405)". Lineage: Eukaryota; Viridiplantae; Streptophyta; Magnoliopsida; Zingiberales; Musaceae. The record is from RNAcentral.
GAGAGAAGCUGAAAUUGGGCAUUUAGGAACCCAAUGAACAAAGCACGCAGAGAACAGCAAAAGGAUGUAUUACACGCAUUUUGAUUCGAGAAAAGAAGAAACAAAAGCAUGCAUAAUGCUCUCCUUUGGAGAAAGUUGGGAAUACCAAUCUCUCGAUAUCUUUAACUUCAUGGGGAAUUACUACGAGCAGUUUCAUCACUGUUGAUCUUUCUUCUCUUUUGCAUCGAAUCUAAUACAGAGCAUCGGAGUUUCAGAUCCAUGCAUGCAUCCAAGGAGACAUCCAUCGUAAAGAUCGAGAGCCACCACGCGCCCCUAAAUUCGAAAGAAAAACAAUGUAAAUAAAGCAUUUCGACGAAAGACGAGAAAAAAAGUAAAAAAGAGGCAAAGAGAAGAAAAAGUGAUGAGGAUCCUUCCUUUGUGCCAUGAUAAGAUCACUACUUUGUUUUUAGGGUUUGAUAAUGAAUGUGAACCUUAGAUCAAGCUACCGCCAAUAAUUGAGACGAGAGGGAAAACAGAUUAAGAACGCAUAAAGCAAAAGAUCAUCAUAUGGCACAGUUGUUCAAGUUGCAUCUGAUUUCUGCUUCUGGAAUAGAACUGAUCAGUGUAGCUUUUUGCAAUCAAAGCUACCUUUUGGUGCUUCAGAUCGAUCCAUUGGAACCACAAGGACAAUGAGUGGGGAAACUCCAUUUCCAAUCACUGCAACUUCCACUUCUUUCCUCGGUACCUCCACCUAAAAGACUCCAUGUUUCUUGAGAGUAGACCCGAGCUUCUGCUUCCUGAGAGAUAAUCGCACCAUGCACAAUUAGAGAGAUACUUUAAUGGAUCUCCCACCUCUUUUGUGACAACAUCUUCUUAAGUCCCUCAGAAAUGUAAAAUUUCCGAGAACAAGAGUAGUUUAAUCAUGAUGAUUAGGGGAGAGUCUA